Molecule: long non-coding RNA, 4451 nt
Filed under: Zea mays
Lineage: Eukaryota; Viridiplantae; Streptophyta; Magnoliopsida; Poales; Poaceae
Description: long non-coding RNA (ZMAY_LNC000944)
Source: RNAcentral
GGGGGUACUCGCUUGGCGAGCAUCCACUGGGUAAGUCCACCAUUCUUCAGGUCGCCCACCAACUGCAUCUUGUGGUUGGCACCACAUCACUUGCUCGAUCAUCAUCACUCGGUCCUAAAUGAGAUGCAAGAUGCAUAUGUAUGAAUAUAAUGAAAGUAACACAAGACAUACAAAGACACAGUGGCAAACUAAACAUUAAAUGAGAAGACACCGCGACAACUGUACGCAAGCGCUAGUUAUCUAGACGUCAUUGGGCACAACAAGUCAACAUUACUGGAAAGACGACGAACAUUUCCUAUAUUUGACCCACACAAACACGACAUCACGAGUACAAGCAUUUACCCUGUUCACUUUAAUCGUUCAUUGGCUACUUAUGAUUAAACUAGUUAAGUACACAUAAUUUACGAUGACUUACACAUAGACUGACUUAGUUAAAAAGGAAUAUUUACUUAAUCGGGUUUUACAAUUGUUCGCAAUACUCUAAUGCAAGCAUACAUCUAAGGGCACACAAGAAAGUGAUAGCCUAAUCACACUGCUUAUUAUAAUAAUCUAUUGAGAUUGGUUAUUUAUUAAUACUCAGAUUAGCAGCACAAUUAUUAGAAAUGGUAACAUCUCAUUAAUUUUGUUUUUCGUCCAUAUAGUGAUACCUGCUAAAUUGACGUUGAUCGAAGCUAAUUUCUUACUAGACGUCAACCAUUUAAUUUACUACUGCACUAGUUACUUGUAUAUCUCUAAUUAUAUAAUCUACUAAUAUAGGGAUUAUGAGAUAACACUAUCAAUCAUACUCAAGCAAGACAAGAGAGUAGAGCAAUCAACCACAAUCAACAAGAUUAGGACAGCAGCACAACAUUUACUUGUUUCAGUCGUAACUCUUCAAAUAUUUAUCCAAAAAUAGUGAAAAAAUACUUUUUGGAAAGCUUGGGAAACGCUCUACAACUUUGGUAUUAUCGUCUCAAUAUGACUAGACUCUUAGCAAAGUCGAACUGUGCAAAAAUAACAAGUCUGUCCAGGAUGGACAGAUUCAGACUUGCGACUUCAAAAAUUCACAACUACAGGUUCAGACAUCCAAACAAAUUGAUCCUAGACUUUCUGGAAAGGUAAUAAAAUGUUCUACAAAUUAUUUAUAAACAUCCCUGACUGGUUUAAUAUGUAUCAAGCGUAAAAUACACUAUGAAGGCUGUGCUGUCCAGAACUGGACAGAUUCCGUCUUCACACUUUAAACAUCCAUAACUUAAUAUUCAGAUCACCAAAAAGAGUGAUCCAAGACUUUUUAGAAAGCUUGGCAAAAGCACUACAUACUUUUAUAAUAACCAAGAAUCGAUUUUAUGCUGAAUUGAAUCAAACAAUUCAGUUUUCGAAAUCUGUUCUGUUAGUGGACAGAAUACAGCAACCAGUUUGUAAAAUUCAUAGCUCCUAAUCUGUCAGGCCUAUGGUUAUGAAAUUUUAACACAAGCAAGAUAAGAAAAGCAUCUACAACUUUUGUAUAACGACCAUGAACAGAUUGUAACAUUAAAUUAGGCAAACAAUACAGUUUCUGAAAUCUGUACAGAAUUUGGGCACAUUCAGUUACUGAAUUUGUGAAAAGCAUAACUCCUAAACGAUCAGACUUAUGACUGUCAAAUUUUAACACCAGCAAGAUAAUAAAGUUAUCUACCACUUUUCUAUAGCACAUAUCUACAGAAAAUAAAAUUUAGUUCAUCAAACAUACAGCACAGCGAAAACAAUGCGUGCAGCCCAAAACAACAACUAAUAAAAUUCAGCCCCUAUUCACUUAAAAAUUGUCGCGUUCUAGAGACUUGAAUUAUUUUAACACCUUACCAUUUGUUAAAGUUGAAACAAUCAAAUUAGGGCCAACAAGUAGACUUACUAAUUUUAUACAAUUCAUUUGUGCACUAGAAUUGCCAUACACAAUUAGCAACGCAUCUACCACAAUAAUCUUACCCGGCAUAUAUGUGUUUAUUGAUGCGCCCUCACACACUAAUUUGCAUUUUAACUUAGACAUCACAUGAACACUACUACUUUUCAUACGCGACCAUAACCAUACACAUUUAGAUCACAACAAGCAAUUCAUCGUGAUUACGAGCUUAACCAAGUCAUCUAACAAUUCGGCUAACUAGAGCAACGACAUAGCCGCUACAUAACAUACACGUCGGCUUGCCUAUUAUCAUCACAAUCCGAGACACAACAUAUACUACAACAUUUUUAUAAACACACAGAUUCACAAGUAUAUUCGCACAUCGACCAAUUUAUAUGAAUCGUAAACCACUAAUCUCCAAAUCGCAAUCACCAUGCAUUUACUUCUCCAAUCAUGAACGCAUACAUGUUUAUCAUAUGAACCGAGUACUUCAAUAAUUAUCCUAAAACAACUAACUCCAUUACACACUUGUAUCACAAACCUAUUUGACUUACAUGAAGCGUCUACUCGAAAUCGUAAGCACAAUCAUACACUAUAUGCGAAGCCUAAUUUAUCGAACGCACAAUACGCAUCGUCUCGACUCGACUUAUAAAUAUAGAGAAAGCGACGACUACCUUGGCAUGUCACCACCUCUCUAUAUAAGCCAAAGUAAUUUCUAUCUACAACGACCAAACAUUCAUGUCGAGCACACUUUAUUUUAUCGUGUCUCGCAUACAACCAUAUGGUGGCGUGCACUCGAGACACUUCAAUCAACGUGGCGCGACCACUAAUAUAUGAACUCCGACACUCAAGUAUUAAUAAUUCAUCCUCCACGCAAAUUAGCAUUGUCUAAACUACUCGUCACAUUAACAAUUAUAUCCCCUAUAUAAUCACGAAUCCCAUCACAUUGCAUAAAACAAAUACACUUUUCACAUAAACACAUAUCGAUGCAUUUCCCAAAACAAAAUCCGCAUUUUGUAACUUAGUUUUCGCAUUUAAACAACACAUCGCAUAUUUUUCCUAUCAAAUAUAAAAACAUAUGAGUUUCUUUCUACUUUGUUUUCUUUUCUACUCACGUCCAUUCAUACAAUUAUAUUUUCAUGCACAUAUUCACGCCAUCGACUGAAUCGUAAAUAAAACAAAAACCACCAUUUUUCUAAAGCGAACAACCUGGCUGAAACCCGAGUGGAGUUGUGCAUGCAUGCAUGUCGUUUUGGCUUCCUGUCAAGAAACGACGCGCGAAGCGUGACGACGACAAGGGGCUGCGACUAACGACAUACACAAUUAUUUCACAGCUUUAUUAGUUCAGUUAUUUUAUAAAAUCAGGGAACACAGGACAGCGAGGAGCUCACCGCGGGUUUCGACGACGACGCGCAAAUGCUGCGCAGAUCAAUAGCGUGAGGCCCGUCCUGGCGAGCGCGACGCAGCGAAGGGCGUCGCUGCUGCUGCUGCGGCAUUUCAUCGAGCACGCCGAGGGCGCGACACAGCGAGAACCCAUGUGGCUGCGCGAACUAGCGUCGUGGCUGCUGCGCGAGGUUGACGGCGAGCUCGCUGCGGCUGCUGUUUUGUGGGGAAGAGAGGAGGAGCAGGGGCCUAGAGCUAGGCGGCAUUGCUCCUGCUGAUUUCCAUGGAAAAGUAGGGCGCAGGGAACAGCAGGGAUGGCAUGCCCAUGGAGAAGCUUCUGCGCACCGGGGAGAAGAGCUCCCUACUGCAGAACGCCGUGGAGAAGGGGCGCGCCCAUGGGGUGAGCUCAGGCUUGAGCCAUGGAGCAGGGAGGGCAACACCCUAGAAGAGCUCUGCGAGCACCAACCAUCGGAGCUGAGGGGGAGUGGCGAGGUUGGCCAUGGGCGACGGUGGGCCACCUGCUCGAGCUUGGACCAGAGAAAGUCUCCGCCAUGGCUGGAGCAGAGGCGUCAUGGGAGUAGUUGCCUGCACCGACUCGCCGCCAUGGAGGAGCAGGGGACGUCGGCUUCGACAAGAGCAAGGAGGGGCAAGACUCUGGACGAGAAGUUCCAGGGCGCCAUGGACGAGUAGGAGCAGAGGGGCUUGCAGCUUGUCCUAGCAGGUUGAGCUCGGCCAUGGGGAAGCAGGGGCACCCUGCGCGCGAACGAGAGGGCCGAGCGGGGCCCUGAGCUUAUGCUCGCGCGCGGUCCCGACAUUGGAGGUGGGAAAGCUCGUCGACGUCCUGUGGAAGAUGUUGGCCGGCGAGUGGAGCGGGUCGACGGCGCACUGCUGAGGGAGGGCACCGACGCCAUGGACGCCGGGUUGGAGCGCCGGCCGAGGAGGAGAUCCUCCUAGCAUCAUGGAUCCGCUAGGGGAAGGGGCGCCUACUCUCCCUGCUGGGUUCUGAGGGGAACAAGGAACCAGCCAUGGUGCAGAGGGGGAGAAGGGGACGCAGGGACGCUCGGCAUGAGGAGGAAGAGGGCCUGCACACCGGCCUGGGGAAGAAGGGCGCCGAGGGAAAGGGUGGCGCCAUGGGAGAAGCCAUAGCUCGGCUAGGGAAGGAGCUGGGCGGCCAUGGAGCUUCGGUGUCCGAGGAGCCAGGGAGAUGGAGUCG